GACGAACGCUGGCGGCGUGCUUAACACAUGCAAGUCGAACGAAAAGGCCCUGCUUUUGUGGGGUGCUCGAUUGCCGAACGGGUGAGUAACACAUGAGUAACAUGCCCUUGACUUUGGGAUAACUUCAGGAGAAUGGGGCUCAUACCGGAUAGAAGCUCCUGCUGCAUGGUGGGGGUUGGAGAGUUUCGGCGGUGGGGGAUGGACUAGAGGCUUCUCAGCUUGUUGGGGGGGUAGUGGCUUACCAAGGCUUUGACGGGUAGCCGGCCUGAGAGGGUUGACGGCCACAUGGGGACUGAGAUACGGCCCAGACUCCUACGGGAGGCAGCAGUGGGGAAUAUGGCAGAAUGGGCGGAAGCCUGAUGCAGCAACGCCCGGUGCGUGAUGAUGGCUUUCGGGUGGUAAACAGCUUUCGACGGUGACGAACAGUGAUUGACGGUAAUUGGUAAAGAAGCAACGGCUAACUACGUG
This 468-nucleotide ribosomal RNA is filed under the name uncultured bacterium. RNAcentral describes it as "partial 16S ribosomal RNA". It matches the Rfam family "Bacterial small subunit ribosomal RNA", at positions 28 to 507 of the family's 1533-position model. The record is from RNAcentral.